CAUGGGUGAUAAGGUCCGUGUUCGAAAGGGAAACAGCCCAGACCACCAGCUAAGGUCCCAAAAUAUAUGUUAAGUGGAAAAGGAUGUGGCGUUGCCCAGACAACUAGGAUGUUGGCUUAGAAGCAGCCAUCAUUUAAAGAGUGCGUAAUAGCUCACUAGUCGAGUGACACUGCGCCGAAAAUGUACCGGGGCUAAACAUAUUACCGAAGCUGUGGAUUGUCCUUUGGACAAUGGUAGGAGAGCGUUCUAAGGGCGUUGAAGCAUGAUCGUAAGGACAUGUGGAGCGCUUAGAAGUGAGAAUGCCGGUGUGAGUAGCGAAAGACGGGUGAGAAUCCCGUCCACCGAUUGACUAAGGUUUCCAGAGGAAGGCUCGUCCGCUCUGGGUUAGUCGGGUCCUAAGCUGAGGCCGACAGGCGUAGGCGAUGGAUAACAGGUUGAUAUUCCUGUACCACCUAUAAUCGUUUUAAUCGAUGGGGGGACGCAGUAGGAUAGGCGAAGCGUGCGAUUGGAUUGCACGUCUAAGCAGUAAGGCUGAGUAUUAGGCAAAUCCGGUACUCGUUAAGGCUGAGCUGUGAUGGGGAGAAGACAUUGUGUCUUCGAGUCGUUGAUUUCACACUGCCGAGAAAAGCCUCUAGAUAGAAAAUAGGUGCCCGUACCGCAAACCGACACAGGUAGUCAAGAUGAGAAUUCUAAGGUGAGCGAGCGAACUCUCGUUAAGGAACUCGGCAAAAUGACCCCGUAACUUCGGGAGAAGGGGUGCUCUUUAGGGUUAACGCCCAGAAGAGCCGCAGUGAAUAGGCCCAAGCGACUGUUUAUCAAAAACACAGGUCUCUGCUAAACCGUAAGGUGAUGUAUAGGGGCUGACGCCUGCCCGGUGCUGGAAGGUUAAGAGGAGUGGUUAGCUUCUGCGAAGCUACGAAUCGAAGCCCCAGUAAACGGCGGCCGUAACUAUAACGGUCCUAAGGUAGCGAAAUUCCUUGUCGGGUAAGUUCCGACCCGCACGAAAGGCGUAACGAUUUGGGCACUGUCUCAACGAGAGACUCGGUGAAAUCAUAGUACCUGUGAAGAUGCAGGUUACCCGCGACAGGACGGAAAGACCCCGUGGAGCUUUACUGUAGCCUGAUAUUGAAAUUCGGCACAGCUUGUACAGGAUAGGUAGGAGCCUUUGAAACGUGAGCGCUAGCUUACGUGGAGGCGCUGGUGGGAUACUACCCUAGCUGUGUUGGCUUUCUAACCCGCACCACUUAUCGUGGUGGGAGACAGUGUCAAGCGGGCAGUUUGACUGGGGCGGUCGCCUCCUAAAAGGUAACGGAGGCGCUCAAAGGUUCCCUCAGAAUGGUUGGAAAUCAUUCAUAGAGUGCAAAGGCAUAAGGGAGCUUGACUGCGAGACCUACAAGUCGAGCAGGGUCGAAAGACGGACUUAGUGAUCCGGUGGUUCCGCAUGGAAGGGCCAUCGCUCAACGGAUAAAAGCUACCCCGGGGAUAACAGGCUUAUCUCCCCCAAGAGUUCACAUCGACGGGGAGGUUUGGCACCUCGAUGUCGGCUCAUCGCAUCCUGGGGCUGUAGUCGGUCCCAAGGGUUGGGCUGUUCGCCCAUUAAAGCGGUACGCGAGCUGGGUUCAGAACGUCGUGAGACAGUUCGGUCCCUAUCCGUCGUGGGCGUAGGAAAUUUGAGAGGAGCUGUCCUUAGUACGAGAGGACCGGGAUGGACAUACCUCUGGUGUACCAGUUGUCGUGCCAACGGCAUAGCUGGGUAGCUAUGUGUGGACGGGAUAAGUGCUGAAAGCAUCUAAGCAUGAAGCCCCCCUCAAGAUGAGAUUUCCCAACUUCGGUUAUAAGAUCCCUCAAAGAUGAUGAGGUUAAUAGGUUCGAGGUGGAAGCAUGGUGACAUGUGGAGCUGACGAAUACUAAUCGAUCGAAGACUUAAUCAAAA
Molecule: ribosomal RNA, 1933 nt
Filed under: Staphylococcus aureus
Lineage: Bacteria; Bacillati; Bacillota; Bacilli; Caryophanales; Staphylococcaceae
Description: bacterial LSU rRNA
Rfam family: Bacterial large subunit ribosomal RNA
Source: RNAcentral